CGUAGGCGGUUGAGUAAGUCAAAUGUGAAAUCCCCGGGCUUAACCUGGGAACUGCAUUCGAUACUGCUUAACUAGAGUAUGAUAGAGGGAAGUGGAAUUUCCGGUGUAGCGGUGAAAUGCGUAGAUAUCGGAAGGAACACCAGUGGCGAAGGCGACUUCCUGGGCCAAUACUGACGCUGAGGUGCGAAAGCGUGGGGAGCAAACA
Molecule: ribosomal RNA, 205 nt
Filed under: uncultured bacterium
Lineage: Bacteria
Description: partial 16S ribosomal RNA
Rfam family: Bacterial small subunit ribosomal RNA
Source: RNAcentral